AGUGUAAAGGCAUAAGGGAGCUUGACUGCGAGACCUACAAGUCGAGCAGGGUCGAAAGACGGACUUAGUGAUCCGGUGGUUCCGCAUGGAAGGGCCAUCGCUCAACGGAUAAAAGCUACCCCGGGGAUAACAGGCUUAUCUCCCCCAAGAGUUCACAUCGACGGGGAGGUUUGGCACCUCGAUGUCGGCUCAUCGCAUCCUGGGGCUGUAGUCGGUCCCAAGGGUUGGGCUGUUCGCCCAUUAAAGCGGUACGCGAGCUGGGUUCAGAACGUCGUGAGACAGUUCGGUCCCUAUCCGUCGUGGGCGUAGGAAAUUUGAGAGGAGCUGUCCUUAGUACGAGAGGACCGGGAUGGACAUACCUCUGGUGUACCAGUUGUCGUGCCAACGGCAUAGCUGGGUAGCUAUGUGUGGACGGGAUAAGUGCUGAAAGCAUCUAAGCAUGAAGCCCCCCUCAAGAUGAGAUUUCCCAACUUCGGUUAUAAGAUCCCUCAAAGAUGAUGAGGUUAAUAGG
This 511-nucleotide ribosomal RNA is filed under the name Staphylococcus aureus. RNAcentral describes it as "partial 23S ribosomal RNA". It matches the Rfam family "Bacterial large subunit ribosomal RNA", at positions 2348 to 2860 of the family's 2925-position model. The record is from RNAcentral. RNAcentral also lists the same sequence under 1 other name. Lineage: Bacteria; Bacillati; Bacillota; Bacilli; Caryophanales; Staphylococcaceae.